This 295-nucleotide unclassified non-coding RNA is filed under the name Ascomycota sp. RNAcentral's name for it is "partial contains small subunit ribosomal RNA and internal transcribed spacer 1". The stretch from base 1 to 47 matches the Rfam family "Eukaryotic small subunit ribosomal RNA", at positions 1785 to 1831 of the family's 1831-position model. The record is from RNAcentral. Lineage: Eukaryota; Fungi; Ascomycota.
AAAGUCGUAACAAGGUAUCCGUUGGUGAACCAGCGGAUGGAUCAUUACCUGAAGAUAUAAUGCCAAUUAAUUGGUAUGGCUGACUGUCGGUUAGCCUCUGGUUUGGUUGGAGAAUCAGCCUGCCAGGACUCGUGGUGUGCAAAGAGUCGCACGCUUGAUGAGUGAAGGGAUUGCUGGGAUGGAUUUCCAAAGAAGUCCAGGCGAGAUGCAACCUCAAUCCCUGAGACUGCCAUUGACUUCACCUAAGCGAUUGUCUUAAAAAUGACAACUGCUGGCCGUGGAUCACUUGGCUGAC